RNAcentral lists this ribosomal RNA (896 nucleotides) under Hypomyces armeniacus. RNAcentral describes it as "LSU rRNA". It matches the Rfam family "Eukaryotic large subunit ribosomal RNA", at positions 38 to 963 of the family's 3401-position model. Lineage: Eukaryota; Fungi; Ascomycota; Sordariomycetes; Hypocreales; Hypocreaceae. The record is from RNAcentral.
GCAUAUCAAUAAGCGGAGGAAAAGAAACCAACAGGGAUUGCCCCAGUAACGGCGAGUGAAGCGGCAACAGCUCAAAUUUGAAAUCUGGCCCCUCGGGCCCGAGUUGUAAUUUGUAGAGGAUGCUUUUGGCAAGGUGCCGCCCGAGUUCCCUGGAACGGGACGCCACAGAGGGUGAGAGCCCCGUCUGGCUGGCCGCCGAGCCUCUGUAAAGCUCCUUCGACGAGUCGAGUAGUUUGGGAAUGCUGCUCAAAAUGGGAGGUAUAUGUCUUCUAAAGCUAAAUAUUGGCCAGAGACCGAUAGCGCACAAGUAGAGUGAUCGAAAGAUGAAAAGCACUUUGAAAAGAGGGUUAAACAGUACGUGAAAUUGUUGAAAGGGAAGCGCUCAUGACCAGACUUGGGCUUGGCGGAUCAUCCGGCGUUCUCGCCGGUGCACUUCGCCUCGCCCAGGCCAGCAUCAGUUCGCGCCGGGGGACAAAAGCUUCGGGAAUGUGGCUCCUCCGGGAGUGUUAUAGCCCGUUGCAUAAUACCCUGGUGCGGACUGAGGUCCGCGCAUCUGCAAGGAUGCUGGCGUAAUGGUCAUCAGCGACCCGUCUUGAAACACGGACCAAGGAGUCGUCUUCGUAUGCGAGUGUUCGGGUGUUAAACCCCUACGCGUAAUGAAAGUGAACGCAGGUGAGAGCUUCGGCGCAUCAUCGACCGAUCCUGAUGUUCUCGGAUGGAUUUGAGUAAGAGCAUACGGGGCCGGACCCGAAAGAAGGUGAACUAUGCCUGUAUAGGGUGAAGCCAGAGGAAACUCUGGUGGAGGCUCGCAGCGGGUUCUGACGUGCAAAUCGAUCGUCAAAUAUGGGCAUGGGGGGCGAAGACUAAUCGAAUCUUCUAGUAGCUGGUUUCGCGAG